This is a non-coding RNA of Salmo salar (Atlantic salmon), 71 nucleotides long. NCBI's taxonomy places the organism in Eukaryota, Metazoa, Chordata, Actinopteri, Salmoniformes, Salmonidae. The record is from Rfam.
GCAUUGGUGGUUCAGUGGUAGAAUUCUCGCCUGCCACGCGGGAUGCCCGGGUUUGUUUCCCGGCCAAUGAA